This is a long non-coding RNA of Amphibalanus amphitrite, 319 nucleotides long. RefSeq lists it as uncharacterized. The record is from RefSeq and is a predicted model, not a curated record. The transcript is spliced from 2 exons. Lineage: Eukaryota; Metazoa; Arthropoda; Thecostraca; Balanomorpha; Balanidae.
CAACACACUAUGCAGUAAGCACAUGACAGAGGUCUCUGUCACUGCGUGAUGAAACUCGCAAUGCUGCUUGCAGGCUGUUGACAGGAAGUGAUAAGUUGCCGUGUGGCGCGGCGCUCCGCCAGCUGCUGCGCCGGGGUUAGCGGCGCUCAGCAGAGCUAUCAGCUGACACGGCGCGCCGUGCUCGAUCGCCACGGCGCAUGUGCCGCUGCGCGACGCGCCGGGCGCCGACGGCCGUCGUCUGGCAGCAACAGCGCUGCCAGUGACUCGCUCUGCUGCUGCAGAAACUGGACAAGGAUCGUAGAAUCGUGGCGUUCCAUCC